UGGCGCCGGAGUUGAAGCCCAUCAAAGUUGUUUCACCAUGGCACAUGAUCGGGGUGGACCUCAUCAGACCCUUCACGAAAUCCAGGAAUGGCAUCCGCUGGUGUCUGACGGCGACCGAUUAAUUCACCAAGUGGGUGGAGACUAUACCCAUUAAGGAUAAGACUGGCGAGGCCACCUCCAAGGCGAUGAUGGAGAUCUUCAACACCCACGGUGCUCCUGAGGUUUGGAUGAAUGGACCAACCAGACCCUCAAUACUGCCAUGGGCAAGUCCCUUGACGGGUACCAGGAACGGUAGGACAACCUGAAGGUAAUUUUCUUUGCACACAACAGCAGUGUCCAGGCCUCCACCAAGUACUCGCCCUAUCGCCUGCUGUAAGGACAGGAGCCGCAGCUGUUGACAGAGGUAAACAAUGCAAUUGUAUAUACAAUUAUAUCAAAUUAUUGCAGAUACUGCAGUCAUUCAAAUUUGUGAUUGAGCUGGCUAACAUGGUGGAAUGCUCCCGGACCCGCUCAAUGACUCC
Long non-coding RNA from Coregonus clupeaformis (lake whitefish), 521 nucleotides. RefSeq lists it as uncharacterized. The record is from RefSeq and is a predicted model, not a curated record. NCBI's taxonomy places the organism in Eukaryota, Metazoa, Chordata, Actinopteri, Salmoniformes, Salmonidae. The transcript has 4 exons.